CGGCGGGACACCUCCCCCCAACGGGAGGCAACCAUCUGGAAGGAUGGAUGAC
RNAcentral lists this non-coding RNA (52 nucleotides) under Methylorubrum extorquens. RNAcentral's name for it is "serC". It matches the Rfam family "serC leader". Rfam says of the family: This family is a putative regulatory RNA structure that is found upstream of the serC-serA operon in some alpha-proteobacteria. The final stem of the structure overlaps the ribosome binding site of the serC reading frame. The record is from RNAcentral. Lineage: Bacteria; Pseudomonadati; Pseudomonadota; Alphaproteobacteria; Hyphomicrobiales; Methylobacteriaceae.